ACUCCUACGGGAGGCAGCAGUGAGGAAUAUUGGUCAAUGGACGCAAGUCUGAACCAGCCAUGUCGCGUGCAGGAAGACUGCCCCUAUGGGUUGUAACUGCUUUUUAUACGGGAAGAAAUAUAGCUACGUGUAGUUAUUUGCCGGUACCGUAUGAAUAAGCAUCGGCUAACUCCGUGCCAGCAGCCGCGGUAAUACGGAGGAUGCGAGCGUUAUCCGGAUUCAUUGGUUUAAAGGGUGCGUAGGCGGAAGUAUAAGUCAGGGUGAAAGUUUGUGGCUCAACCAUAAAAUUGCCUUUGAUACUGUAUUUCUUGAGUACAUUUGAGGUAGGCGGAAUGUGUUGUGUAGCGGUGAAAUGCUUAGAUAUAACACAGAACACCGAUUGCGAAGGCAGCUUACUAAACUGUAACUGACGCUGAUGCACGAAAGCGU
This 429-nucleotide ribosomal RNA is filed under the name uncultured bacterium. RNAcentral describes it as "bacterial SSU rRNA". It matches the Rfam family "Bacterial small subunit ribosomal RNA", at positions 335 to 762 of the family's 1533-position model. The record is from RNAcentral.